UACAGAGGUCCCGAGCGUUGUUCGGGUUCAUUGGGCGUAAAGGGUGCGUAGGCGGCGGGGCAAGUCUGAUGUGAAAUCCUGGGGCUCAACCCCAGAACUGCAUUGGAUACUGCCUUGCUUCAGUACUGGAGAGGGAACUGGAAUUUACGGUGUAGCAGUGAAAUGCGUAGAGAUCGUAAGGAAGGCCAGUGGCGAAGGCGAGUUCCUGGACAGUUACUGACGCUGAGGCACGAAGGCCAGGGGAGCAGACGGG
This 253-nucleotide ribosomal RNA is filed under the name uncultured bacterium. RNAcentral describes it as "partial 16S ribosomal RNA". It matches the Rfam family "Bacterial small subunit ribosomal RNA", at positions 524 to 776 of the family's 1533-position model. The record is from RNAcentral.